AUGAAAACUUCUAUUUUCAGAUUCGAAAACAGUUGGUUUCAAAGGCCGAAUUUGGAUGAGAUAGUCAGGAAAGUGUGGGAAUCAAAAUUCCCUGGGAGCUCCAGUCUGGACAGGGUUCAUAACAAAAUGAAGGAGCUAAGGAAAGUAUUAAAAGGCUGGAAUUUGAAUAUUGAAGCAAUUUUUAGAAGAAAGAAAAAGGAAGCAUUGGAGGAGCUGGAUAGAUUAGACAAAAGGGAAGAAGAAGGAAAAAUAUGUGAUAAAGACAAGGAAGUAAAAAGGGAGUGCCAAGAGGCUCUGAAGGAAAUACUUAAAGAAGAAGAAAUCAAAUGGCUUCAGAGAUCGCAUGACACAGAGUUGUUGGAGGGAGAU
RNAcentral lists this ribosomal RNA (369 nucleotides) under Triticum aestivum (bread wheat). RNAcentral's name for it is "partial small subunit ribosomal RNA". Lineage: Eukaryota; Viridiplantae; Streptophyta; Magnoliopsida; Poales; Poaceae. The record is from RNAcentral.